This 236-nucleotide long non-coding RNA is filed under the name Vigna radiata. Its description in RNAcentral is "long non-coding RNA (VRAD_LNC016868)". Lineage: Eukaryota; Viridiplantae; Streptophyta; Magnoliopsida; Fabales; Fabaceae. The record is from RNAcentral.
AACAAAAUUGAGCUUUUGGUUUUAAAUAUUUUGUAUAUUUUUCGUGUUAAAAAUAUGGUGGAAAAAGAAGAAAAGAAACUGGCCAUAGGUCGACGCGCACUUAUAUUUAAAAAAUCAUGAUUUUAAGAAAACAUUGUCUGUGUGUAAAAGAAAUCUUUGGAAGAAAACUUUAAAGUAUAAUAAAAGGAGAAAAAUAGGAGUGUAGACAUACCUUUUUAGCUUCUGGAAUUCCCUUA